This 230-nucleotide unclassified non-coding RNA is filed under the name uncultured fungus. RNAcentral describes it as "sequence contains ITS1, 5.8S rRNA gene". The stretch from base 182 to 230 matches the Rfam family "5.8S ribosomal RNA", at positions 1 to 49 of the family's 154-position model. Lineage: Eukaryota; Fungi. The record is from RNAcentral.
UUUCCGUAGGUGAACCUGCGGAAGGAUCAUUAAAGAGUUAGGGUCCUCGUGGCCCGAGCUCCAACCCUUUGUGAAUUCGACCCAGUUGCCUCGGGGGCGACCCGGCCUUCGGGCGUCGGGGCCCCCGUUGGACCACCCAACCCUGCAUCGUUGCGUCUGAGUCGAAAUAUAAAUCAAUCAAAACUUUCAACAACGGAUCUCUUGGUUCUGGCAUCGAUGAAGAACGCAGC